AACGAACGCUGGCGGCAUGCCUAACACAUGCAAGUCGAACGAAGUCUUCGGACUUAGUAGCGCACGGGUGAGUAACGCGUGGGAACCUGCCCUUCGGUACGGAAUAACGUCGGGAAACUGACGCUAAUACCGUAUAUGUCUCCGGAUGAAAGAUUUAUCGCCGGGGGAGGGGCCCGCGUCCGAUUAGCUAGUUGGUGAGG
This 200-nucleotide ribosomal RNA is filed under the name uncultured bacterium. RNAcentral describes it as "partial 16S ribosomal RNA". It matches the Rfam family "Bacterial small subunit ribosomal RNA", at positions 29 to 257 of the family's 1533-position model. The record is from RNAcentral.